RNAcentral lists this long non-coding RNA (464 nucleotides) under Zea mays. RNAcentral's name for it is "long non-coding RNA (ZMAY_LNC005538)". Lineage: Eukaryota; Viridiplantae; Streptophyta; Magnoliopsida; Poales; Poaceae. The record is from RNAcentral.
UGGCACACACGGCCUUAGAGUCUGGCAACAAGCAGACAAAAGGCUACAAGAAAACACCACGAAAGUGAAACGGGCGAACUACCCAUAAAAGAUGUGAAUCGUCAGGUUGGGUCUAAAAAUUGCACAGUUAAAUUCAAUGUUCGUUUCCUGAAUAAACUAAGACCGGGACAAAAGCACGAAUUGCUACUUCUGUAGUACAAGAAAACAAAAGCUUCCUUUCCCCCCACUAUGUUUCCUUCUAUCUAAGAUCGGUAAUCUGCGUUUUUUUGCAGAGCAGACUCCCAUGAGACUCCUGCAACAGAUAGCAAGUCUUUAUUUUAGUGUGGCAACGAUAAUAAGCAGUAAACGUCAAUGUUAUCUCCAAGGCUGAAUCAGACCUGUUCCAAUGUGACCCAAAUUUAAGCUAAGCAAAGUUUCAGACGGGGGAAAGGAACUGUAGAUCAAUUAUUCUCCUACAGUACAAA